AUUCAAAACAAGAAAACAUACAUAAUAGUUAAGCGAACCGCCUAAAUGUAACAUUAAUGUAGCCUAUAUAAUGUGUAAUGUUUAGUAUACUCUAAUUCCUUAUAAUGAUGGCACAUGACGAGACACACAAUCAGCAUGUAAUUCUGUUUGAGUACAA
Molecule: long non-coding RNA, 157 nt
Organism: Limulus polyphemus (Atlantic horseshoe crab)
Lineage: Eukaryota; Metazoa; Arthropoda; Merostomata; Xiphosura; Limulidae
Exons: 3
Source: RefSeq, a predicted model, not a curated record